GAUGAACGCUGGCGGCGUGCCUAAUACAUGCAAGUCGAGCGAACAGACGAGGAGCUUGCUCCUCUGACGUUAGCGGCGGACGGGUGAGUAACACGUGGAUAACCUACCUAUAAGACUGGGAUAACUUCGGGAAACCGGAGCUAAUACCGGAUAAUAUAUUGAACCGCACGGUUCAAUAGUGAAAGACGGUUUUGCUGUCACUUAUAGAUGGAUCCGCGCCGCAUUAGCUAGUUGGUAAGGUAACGGCUUACCAAGGCAACGAUGCGUAGCCGACCUGAGAGGGUGAUCGGCCACACUGGAACUGAGACACGGUCCAGACUCCUACGGGAGGCAGCAGUAGGGAAUCUUCCGCAAUGGGCGAAAGCCUGACGGAGCAACGCCGCGUGAGUGAUGAAGGUCUUCGGAUCGUAAAACUCUGUUAUUAGGGAAGAACAAAUGUGUAAGUAACUAUGCACGUCUUGACGGUACCUAAUCAGAAAGCCACGGCUAACUACGU
This 496-nucleotide ribosomal RNA is filed under the name uncultured bacterium. Its description in RNAcentral is "partial 16S ribosomal RNA". It matches the Rfam family "Bacterial small subunit ribosomal RNA", at positions 28 to 506 of the family's 1533-position model. The record is from RNAcentral.